Molecule: non-coding RNA, 2002 nt
Organism: Manis javanica (Malayan pangolin)
Lineage: Eukaryota; Metazoa; Chordata; Mammalia; Pholidota; Manidae
Source: RefSeq, a predicted model, not a curated record
CCACUGCAGUCACUGUCCAUCAGUGUAAUAAGAUGCCACAGAUUCACUAUUUGCCAAGAAGUAAUUAAGUUGCUCUUGGCUUUUUGAGCUUUAAUUGAUUAGUUUUGGGUCUUUUUAGUGGACUUUCUGGCCUUUUUCUGUUUACAUCCUGUGCAUAGCUAAUUUCCUGCCUAACAAGUAGGUUUUGCUUUUGUCUUUUAGAGGGUUUCAUUUCCUGCCCAGAAGCCAUUUAGUUUGAUGUAGCCACAUUUGUUUACUUUUGCUAUUGUUUCCCUUGCCUGGGGAGACAUACUCAAAAAAUUUGCUGACACCAACAUCCAAGCGCUUACUACCUAUUAUUUCUCCAGUUUUAUGGUUUCAAGUCUUAACAUUUGUAGAAACAAACAAAAAACUCAUCCCUCCACUAAACCUAAGAGCGUGCUUUUUGAUUUUCAUCCUUUUGUCCUCCAGAGAGUUGUUUCAUCGAUCAUUCAUAAGACAAACCCAUUUCCUUUUUUCACUGGUUUAUUUAGGAUUGCUCUGUUUUAAAAAUGAUGAAAAAGAAGUAAGUACAAGUUUUUCUUUCCUCAGGUGGUUGUUUUUAUAUACUAAACAUAUGUAUCCAUGUUAAUAUGUGUAGCUUUAGUUCAUUCAUUUUAACUGGUAUAUACUAUUUUGUUUUAUAAACAUACCACAACCUUUUAAUUUAUUUUUCCAAUAUUUCACUAUACAAAUAGUGCUGAAAUUUACAUUUUUGUAUAUGACCUCUUGUGCACAUGGAUGAGAACUUUUCUGGAUUCUAUAUCUGGAAGUGGAAUUGCUGUGAUGGAAAUGGCAUACAGCUUUGAUUUCACUAUGUAUUGCUUAAUAUUUUUAUACAGUGUUUAUACCAGUUGGCACUACCAGUGCGUAAGAGAUUUCCUGCUCUACAUUUUUGCCCAUUUUUGGGAUUUCUGUGGUUUUUGCCUUUCCAAUUCCUCUGUAUAGAACUUGCUAUAAAGUCCAGUAGAUUUUACUUCUACAUUUUUUUUAUUUCUAGCUCUUCUUUGCACAGCCACGAAGUAAGAAAAUUUUUUGAUUCAUUUUAUCUCAUUCACAAUCAUCUUUGUAUUUUUGACUCUACUGCUACAACUUUAGAUGAGACCCUUCUUACCUAAACUAUUGCACCAGACUGAGAAAACGAAGAGGAGAAGAUGUGAUACAGGAAUAUCAAGCCUAAGCUGAGAAAUGAAAUGGUGUGGAGACUGGACCCAGGAGUCUGGGCUGCAACUUUGGGAUGACUUGGAGCCCAGUCCACCAGGAGGAAAAUGCGUCCUGCGUGGGGUCCUGACACCUGCAGAUGGGGCUUUGCCAUGAUUUCUUCUGGAUGUUUCUGUAAGGAGAUUGUUUCUGUAGAGAAAUCCCACUUCAGCAUCAUAUACACAGUCAUAAAAUUCAUAUCAAGAAAUGGGACCAGCCAGUCUUCCCUGCAACUUGAGGUGAAGAGAAAAAAGUGACACCCUAAUAAGUCCCUUCACUCACCUGUAUUGUUACUUUUCCAACAUUAGAGUAAUUGAGAUCCACUGAAAACUGGAAGUUUUAAGUACAUUAAAAUUCAGAACAUUAUUUAGAGUUCUGCUGUUUUAUUGAUGCCAAACCAGAAUUGAGUAUGCUUUAAUGUUCCUAGCUUUCGAAAAGUCAACUUAUCAAUAUGUUAAUUGCCCUGUAGCUUGUCAUUUUCAAACGGGAUUAUCAUUGUGCUUGAUGAUUUCUCCUGAAUUAGUGUUGAACAUAAUUUUUAAAAAUUAUCUUCAUCCACUAAUAUGUUCUUUGCCAGACCUCUGUGUGAAUGAAUGUAUUUGUUAAAACAUACAUAAAUGAACCAAGGGAACAUCUAACUGUUUUGAUACACGAUUAGAGUGAGCAAGUUUCAUGAAUCAGGUUUAGAAGAUCAAAAUAUGAUGAUGUCUUUUCUCUUCAUGCCACCUACUGCAUGCUGCGUAAAACCAUUUAAGGUGAAGUUAUUACCAAAUGAAACAAGCCU